GCUCUGCACACCCAUCCAGUCUGAUGCACGCAGAACCAGCACAAGACAAGGAGGAUCACAGCAGACAACCCCAGGUUCCUGAACUGCUAUUAACAACAACAUGACAAUUUCACACAUCCCUCCUAAAGGCCUGCCUGACGCAGAAAAUCAAACCCAUGAUAGCAAAUUUCAAGUUAAAAGGAAAAGACUGUUUCUGCAGAGAAUGGAAAGAACCAUUUUGGCUCUGGGCAACACGUGAGUUUGAGAAGUUACGUGCAGGGAAAGAUGAGUUUGCACUGAGGAGGUGACUUGAAUCCUUUGCAGACCCCGCUGGA
Molecule: long non-coding RNA, 314 nt
Filed under: Calidris pugnax (ruff)
Lineage: Eukaryota; Metazoa; Chordata; Aves; Charadriiformes; Scolopacidae
Description: lncRNA (ENSCPUG00000010564.1)
Source: RNAcentral